This 84-nucleotide transfer RNA is filed under the name Planctomycetota bacterium. RNAcentral describes it as "tRNA-Leu". It matches the Rfam family "tRNA". From Rfam's summary of the family: Transfer RNA (tRNA) molecules are approximately 80 nucleotides in length. Their secondary structure includes four short double-helical elements and three loops (D, anti-codon, and T loops). Lineage: Bacteria; Pseudomonadati; Planctomycetota. The record is from RNAcentral.
GCGGGAGUGGCGGAACGGCAGACGCGCAAGAUUUAGGAUCUUGUGGAGAAAUCCAUGGGGGUUCGAGUCCCCCUUCCCGCACCA